This 235-nucleotide ribosomal RNA is filed under the name uncultured Eubacteriales bacterium. Its description in RNAcentral is "uncultured Clostridiales bacterium partial 16S ribosomal RNA". It matches the Rfam family "Bacterial small subunit ribosomal RNA", at positions 99 to 334 of the family's 1533-position model. Lineage: Bacteria; Bacillati; Bacillota; Clostridia; Eubacteriales. The record is from RNAcentral.
CGAACGGGUGAGUAACGCGUGAGCAACCUGCCUAUGACAGUGGGAUAGCCUCGGGGAACCGGGAUUAAUACCGCAUAAAAUCGUAGAAACACAUGUUUUAACGGUCAAAGAUUUAUCGGUCAUAGAUGGGCUCGCGUCUGAUUAGCUAGUUGGUGAGAUAACAGCCCACCAAGGCGACGAUCAGUAGCCGGUCUGAGAGGAUGAACGGCCACAUUGGAACUGAGACACGGUCCAA